AGACGAGGUGGACAGGGAGAGGCCGAGAGAGCUAGGGGGUAUUAAGAAAGAAGCACCUCUGGCAUUUGAUGACUGGUUUGGAGAGAAGGGCUGGUGCCUGCAGAUGUUUGGACCAGGUGGUUGCUCACAGAUGAAAUGACAGAAGCCAGGUAAGGAGUGGACGAUGUGGAAUUUGACCGUGGCCACUGUGAGAUAGGGGCAGGCAGUCAGAUAUGCAGGAGGAAGUGAGAGGGAUAGCAGGUACCAUGUGCGGAUGCUGGUUGAAGAUAGGAGUGUGCUUAAACCUGGUGAAUACCGAAUGACGCAAGUAAAAAAGCUUAUGGCGUGCCCACUGUGGGCCUGGAAGCUCUGCUUUUCCUCUUUCAGCCCUCUGCAUAUGCCUGCAAGGAAGGAUUUGUUUACUGCUCCCCGGUCUAGCUGGAGAAAGGAUUUAAGUCUGCCGGUACUGGUAGCAGUCCAAUUUCGCAGCGAGGUGCUGGGAGUGGCACGAGCGGCUCAAGGUCAGACAACCCAGAAGGUUUGGGUUUGCAAGCUGAAUCCUGACGACGACGACUAACCGCCAGCACUCGGUGAAGAGUUACGACAGGCCAGGCACUGAACCCUGUAAGGUACUGCUAGCAGAUCUGCGUCUCACACAGGAGAAAACUGAAGCACGGUUUCCGGAAAUUGCCCAGACUCACUCAGCCGCGGAGUGGCUGGCCACGGUUCAACUUCAGGUUCUAACUUGGGUUGUACCGGGGAAACACCUGGAGAGUUUCUAAUCCACUGGUACCUGGUUCCUGCCCCUGGAGAUUCUAAUUUUAUUGAUUUAGGGUGUGGCCCGAGCAUCAGGCUUUUUUUGGUUUUGUUUAGAGCACACCAGGUGAUUCUAAUGAGAACCUAUCUCCAGGGUCCAAGGUCCACAAGAUCAAGGCUGUUCACUCCUUGCAGGCACCACGCCUGUGACUUGAGUGGCAGUUACUGACGGCACGGCUGAAUUCCUCCGUUUGGGGUUAAUACAGGGAAGAAGAAGAGAGGUUUCAGGACAGGGGCCCUGGCUGCAGGCCUCUGCAGGAUUUGUCAGGCCUUGGCUGAUCCUUGACCUCUGUCAGCCUCCCCUCUGCACAGCUGGAGACCAUGAUCUCACUGCCCAGUCCAGCCCACCCCACUCCAAGCCCUCUGCCCAAGUCUCGCCCUGGGUGGGGCAGGGUGGGGGGCAGGCAACUCUUGUGCAUAUCAACAGCAAUAAUUUUUUUUUUUUAAGAUUUUAUUUAUUUAUUCGACAGAGAUAGAGACAGCCAGCGAGAGAGGGAACACAAGCAGGGGAGAGGAAGAAGCAGGCUCAUAGCGGAGGAGCCUGAUGUGGGGCUCGAUCCCAUGACACCGGCAUCACGCCCUGAGCCGAAAGCAGACGCUUAACCGCUGUGCCACCCAGGCGCCCCUCAACAGCAAGAAUUCUUGAUCAGGAACCCACCUGACCCGUUGCUAAGCUCCGUAACCAGCUUCCGGACUUGGUCCUGGGUCGGCCCUUGUGAACCUGGCUAAGGUGACUCUGAAUCGGCCCACUUCCUGCAAAG
Long non-coding RNA from Ursus maritimus (polar bear), 1556 nucleotides. The record is from Ensembl. NCBI's taxonomy places the organism in Eukaryota, Metazoa, Chordata, Mammalia, Carnivora, Ursidae.